Molecule: ribosomal RNA, 253 nt
Filed under: uncultured bacterium
Lineage: Bacteria
Description: partial 16S ribosomal RNA
Rfam family: Bacterial small subunit ribosomal RNA
Source: RNAcentral
UACAGGGGGUGCAAACGUUGCUCGGAAUCAUUGGGCGUAAAGCGCACGUAGGCGGUCUGUUAUGUCGGAUGUGAAAGCCCUUGGCUCAACUGAGGAAGUGCAUCCGAAACUGGCAGGCUAGAGUACGAAAGAGGAUCGCGGAAUUCCCGGUGUAGAGGUGAAAUGCGUAGAUAUCGGGAGGAACACCAGUGGCGAAGGCGACUUCCUGGCCUGUUCUUGACGCUGAGGCGCGAAAGCUAGGGUAGCAAACGGG